This 2905-nucleotide ribosomal RNA is filed under the name Escherichia coli. RNAcentral describes it as "23S ribosomal RNA". It matches the Rfam family "Bacterial large subunit ribosomal RNA". The record is from RNAcentral. Lineage: Bacteria; Pseudomonadati; Pseudomonadota; Gammaproteobacteria; Enterobacterales; Enterobacteriaceae.
GGUUAAGCGACUAAGCGUACACGGUGGAUGCCCUGGCAGUCAGAGGCGAUGAAGGACGUGCUAAUCUGCGAUAAGCGUCGGUAAGGUGAUAUGAACCGUUAUAACCGGCGAUUUCCGAAUGGGGAAACCCAGUGUGUUUCGACACACUAUCAUUAACUGAAUCCAUAGGUUAAUGAGGCGAACCGGGGGAACUGAAACAUCUAAGUACCCCGAGGAAAAGAAAUCAACCGAGAUUCCCCCAGUAGCGGCGAGCGAACGGGGAGGAGCCCAGAGCCUGAAUCAGUGUGUGUGUUAGUGGAAGCGUCUGGAAAGGCGCGCGAUACAGGGUGACAGCCCCGUACACAAAAAUGCACAUGCUGUGAGCUCGAUGAGUAGGGCGGGACACGUGGUAUCCUGUCUGAAUAUGGGGGGACCAUCCUCCAAGGCUAAAUACUCCUGACUGACCGAUAGUGAACCAGUACCGUGAGGGAAAGGCGAAAAGAACCCCGGCGAGGGGAGUGAAAAAGAACCUGAAACCGUGUACGUACAAGCAGUGGGAGCACGCUUAGGCGUGUGACUGCGUACCUUUUGUAUAAUGGGUCAGCGACUUAUAUUCUGUAGCAAGGUUAACCGAAUAGGGGAGCCGAAGGGAAACCGAGUCUUAACUGGGCGUUAAGUUGCAGGGUAUAGACCCGAAACCCGGUGAUCUAGCCAUGGGCAGGUUGAAGGUUGGGUAACACUAACUGGAGGACCGAACCGACUAAUGUUGAAAAAUUAGCGGAUGACUUGUGGCUGGGGGUGAAAGGCCAAUCAAACCGGGAGAUAGCUGGUUCUCCCCGAAAGCUAUUUAGGUAGCGCCUCGUGAAUUCAUCUCCGGGGGUAGAGCACUGUUUCGGCAAGGGGGUCAUCCCGACUUACCAACCCGAUGCAAACUGCGAAUACCGGAGAAUGUUAUCACGGGAGACACACGGCGGGUGCUAACGUCCGUCGUGAAGAGGGAAACAACCCAGACCGCCAGCUAAGGUCCCAAAGUCAUGGUUAAGUGGGAAACGAUGUGGGAAGGCCCAGACAGCCAGGAUGUUGGCUUAGAAGCAGCCAUCAUUUAAAGAAAGCGUAAUAGCUCACUGGUCGAGUCGGCCUGCGCGGAAGAUGUAACGGGGCUAAACCAUGCACCGAAGCUGCGGCAGCGACACUAUGUGUUGUUGGGUAGGGGAGCGUUCUGUAAGCCUGUGAAGGUGUGCUGUGAGGCAUGCUGGAGGUAUCAGAAGUGCGAAUGCUGACAUAAGUAACGAUAAAGCGGGUGAAAAGCCCGCUCGCCGGAAGACCAAGGGUUCCUGUCCAACGUUAAUCGGGGCAGGGUGAGUCGACCCCUAAGGCGAGGCCGAAAGGCGUAGUCGAUGGGAAACAGGUUAAUAUUCCUGUACUUGGUGUUACUGCGAAGGGGGGACGGAGAAGGCUAUGUUGGCCGGGCGACGGUUGUCCCGGUUUAAGCGUGUAGGCUGGUUUUCCAGGCAAAUCCGGAAAAUCAAGGCUGAGGCGUGAUGACGAGGCACUACGGUGCUGAAGCAACAAAUGCCCUGCUUCCAGGAAAAGCCUCUAAGCAUCAGGUAACAUCAAAUCGUACCCCAAACCGACACAGGUGGUCAGGUAGAGAAUACCAAGGCGCUUGAGAGAACUCGGGUGAAGGAACUAGGCAAAAUGGUGCCGUAACUUCGGGAGAAGGCACGCUGAUAUGUAGGUGAAGUCCCUCGCGGAUGGAGCUGAAAUCAGUCGAAGAUACCAGCUGGCUGCAACUGUUUAUUAAAAACACAGCACUGUGCAAACACGAAAGUGGACGUAUACGGUGUGACGCCUGCCCGGUGCCGGAAGGUUAAUUGAUGGGGUUAGCCGCAAGGCGAAGCUCUUGAUCGAAGCCCCGGUAAACGGCGGCCGUAACUAUAACGGUCCUAAGGUAGCGAAAUUCCUUGUCGGGUAAGUUCCGACCUGCACGAAUGGCGUAAUGAUGGCCAGGCUGUCUCCACCCGAGACUCAGUGAAAUUGAACUCGCUGUGAAGAUGCAGUGUACCCGCGGCAAGACGGAAAGACCCCGUGAACCUUUACUAUAGCUUGACACUGAACAUUGAGCCUUGAUGUGUAGGAUAGGUGGGAGGCUUGGAAGUGUGGACGCCAGUCUGCAUGGAGCCGACCUUGAAAUACCACCCUUUAAUGUUUGAUGUUCUAACGUUGACCCGUAAUCCGGGUUGCGGACAGUGUCUGGUGGGUAGUUUGACUGGGGCGGUCUCCUCCUAAAGAGUAACGGAGGAGCACGAAGGUUGGCUAAUCCUGGUCGGACAUCAGGAGGUUAGUGCAAUGGCAUAAGCCAGCUUGACUGCGAGCGUGACGGCGCGAGCAGGUGCGAAAGCAGGUCAUAGUGAUCCGGUGGUUCUGAAUGGAAGGGCCAUCGCUCAACGGAUAAAAGGUACUCCGGGGAUAACAGGCUGAUACCGCCCAAGAGUUCAUAUCGACGGCGGUGUUUGGCACCUCGAUGUCGGCUCAUCACAUCCUGGGGCUGAAGUAGGUCCCAAGGGUAUGGCUGUUCGCCAUUUAAAGUGGUACGCGAGCUGGGUUUAGAACGUCGUGAGACAGUUCGGUCCCUAUCUGCCGUGGGCGCUGGAGAACUGAGGGGGGCUGCUCCUAGUACGAGAGGACCGGAGUGGACGCAUCACUGGUGUUCGGGUUGUCAUGCCAAUGGCACUGCCCGGUAGCUAAAUGCGGAAGAGAUAAGUGCUGAAAGCAUCUAAGCACGAAACUUGCCCCGAGAUGAGUUCUCCCUGACCCUUUAAGGGUCCUGAAGGAACGUUGAAGACGACGACGUUGAUAGGCCGGGUGUGUAAGCGCAGCGAUGCGUUGAGCUAACCGGUACUAAUGAACCGUGAGGCUUAACCUU